GUUGACCUCGGAUCAGGUGGGGAUACCCGCUGAACUUAAGCAUAUCAAUAAGCGGAGGAAAAGAAACCAACAGGGAUUGCCUCAGUAACGGCGAGUGAAGCGGCAAAAGCUCAGAUUUGAAAUCUGGCGUCUUCGGCGUCCGAGUUGUAAUCUGUAGAGGAUGCCUUUGGGUAGCCACCGGUCUAAGUCCCCUGGAACGGGGUGUCACAGAGGGUGAGAAUCCCGUAUGUGACCGGAAGGGCGCCCUAUACAUGGCUCCUUCGACGAGUCGAGUUGUUUGGGAAUGCAGCUCUAAAUGGGAGGUAAAUUCCUUCUAAAGCUAAAUACCGGCCAGAGACCGAUAGCGCACAAGUAGAGUGAUCGAAAGAUGAAAAGCACUUUGGAAAGAGAGUUAAAAAGCACGUGAAAUUGUUGAAAGGGAAGCGCUUGCAACCAGACUUGUUGGCGGUGUUCCGCCGGUCUUCUGACCGGUCUACUCACCGUCUGCAGGCCAGCAUCAUCUGGGACCGCUGGAUAAAAGCGGAGGGAAUGUGGCUCCUCCGGGAGUGUUAUAGCCCUCUGUGUAAUACAGCGAGUCCCGGGUGAGGUCCGCGCUUCGGCUAGGAUGCUGGCGUAAUGGUCGUAAGCGGCCCGUCUUGAAACACGGACCAAGGAGUCUAACAUCUAUGCGAGUGUUCGGGUGUCAAACCCCUACGCGUAAUGAAAGUGAACGGAGGUGGGAACCUUUUAGGUGCACCAUCGACCGAUCCUGAUGUCUUCGGAUGGAUUUGAGUAAGAGCAUAGCUGUUGGGACCCGAAAGAUGGUGAACUAUGCCUGGAUAGGGUGAAGCCAGAGGAAACUCUGGUGGAGGCUCGCAGCGGUUCUGACGUGCAAAUCGAUCGUCAAAUUUGGGUAUAGGGGCGAAAGACUAAUCGAACCAUCUAGUAGCUGGUUCCUGCCGAAG
Molecule: ribosomal RNA, 944 nt
Filed under: Leptoxyphium kurandae
Lineage: Eukaryota; Fungi; Ascomycota; Dothideomycetes; Capnodiales; Capnodiaceae
Description: eukaryotic LSU rRNA
Rfam family: Eukaryotic large subunit ribosomal RNA
Source: RNAcentral